GGAAAUCUCACCAGGCCCGGACACUGGAAGGAUUGACAGAUUGAUAGCUCUUUCUUGAUUCGGUGGGUGGUUGUGCAUGGCCGUUCUUAGUUGGUGGAGUGAUUUGUCUGGUUAAUUCCGAUAACGAACGAGACCCCAACCUGCUAACUAGCCCUCGGGUCCUGCUUCUGUUGGGCCCGACGGAAUGAUUCGCUUCUUAGAGGGACUCGCGGCGCCUAGCCGCACGAAGGGGGGCGAUAA
Molecule: ribosomal RNA, 240 nt
Filed under: uncultured eukaryote
Lineage: Eukaryota
Description: partial 18S ribosomal RNA
Rfam family: Eukaryotic small subunit ribosomal RNA
Source: RNAcentral